Nicotiana tabacum (common tobacco) is the source of this 752-nucleotide long non-coding RNA. RefSeq lists it as uncharacterized. The record is from RefSeq and is a predicted model, not a curated record. Lineage: Eukaryota; Viridiplantae; Streptophyta; Magnoliopsida; Solanales; Solanaceae.
UUGGUUCAAAAGUUGGAAAGUUUUCCUACAAAUAGGAGCUUAUUUCUAUUAUUCAGAUACACCAAAAUGAGAGAGAACGCAAUAGAGCGUAGAAAGUAAUUUACGGAUUAUAGUCUGUGAGAUAAACAGAGAGUGAGAGUAAUAUCGUAGUAAAGUAUUUAAAAUAAAGAGUAUUAUUUUUUUUAAAAUUGUAGUAGUUUUUUGACACUAUCAAGUUAUAAUAUUAUAGUGGUGUUAUAUUGUUCCGCUCGUGUAUUGUAUUUUACUCCUUUAAAAGAUUUGAUUUCGUUAUUACUUUCUUGUGUUAUUGUUAUUUACCGUGGAUAUUAUUUCUGGGUGGGAUAUUAUAUUUUCCAACAACGUGAUAUCAGAUAAUGGCCCGCUGUCUUUUCAGUAUCGACCGUUGCUGAUGAUCGGCCGACACAAGAUGUGGAUAGUAGGCGCCGACUGAGUUAUGGCUCAUCAUCGAGGGAUGUUGGGGAUCUUUCACAGGCGCAGGCUUCAUCUUCGCCCGUCACGGAGGCCACUUUGUGCGAUACUGACCUGGCUGCGCCGGAUGAUUAUAUUCAGGAGCCCGACGAGACCAUGGUUACUGCUGGGCAGACGACCCCUUCAAACGAGCCUGCCAGCCCUACUGACGAUCAUGCUGCAGCGCAUCCUCCGAUAAAGAGGCGAUGUGAUGAGGAUGAUCCUGAUAGCGUAGCCGGGCGGGAUGGGAUGCGCCUCAGGCCAACGGCUUCAUUAAAGCAUAC